AAAACUUUGUCUAAAUGAGUAUUGCCAUUUUCCUUAAUGGUCUUUUAUUUAAUAGGCUUUAUACUAAAUUUAGUUUUGUAAGCAAAGCUAAUAUCUGUAGAUUGUUUCUGAAUAAAAAAAUAGUUUACAAAUUUCAUGCAUUUACAAAAAAAGCCAUGUAAAUGUUUUCAGUUGCAAGAUAUUGGGGUGUGUGUGUGUGUGUGUGUGUGUGUGUGUGUCAUUUUUCCAUGAUUUUCUUCAUAUUUCUUUUCUUUUUUCUUUUGGUGGACCGUAGUUUGUGUGCUUUAAAUUCUCUGUUCCUUUUCUUUAAAAAACUUUCAAGUCAACAGAAAAAUUUAAAAUUCUAAUUAAGGUUCAAAAGACUUUCUUAGCUUAAUUCCUUAAACUGAAUCUGAAGUCUAAGAAUAGUGUUUGCUGAUAUAUGUCAGCAAGCAAAUCAUCUCAUCUCUAUAAAUACAUUUUCCCCCUUCUUGAGGGAUAGAAAUAAUAAUAUAAGUGAGAGAACAGCUUAGGAUACUAUUAUUCAAAUCAUGGCAAAUCCCUCUUUACCUAGAUAAACAUGGAGAAUAUCUAGAUACUAAAUUUAUAAGGACCAGUUUCUGUGAAUCACCUUGGAACACAAUAAAUAAAAAAUUAAUAAUGGCUUAGACUACAGAUAACAGCAGUAGAAAUUGGUAGAGUUGAGAGUUUGGAGGUGAUUUCAUAGAAUUUGCUCAUGUGAAAGAUGAAGAAGAAAGAAAAAGGAUAAUGCUUGUUUUUAUGAUGAGCAGCUGGCUGAGUACAGAAAUUGUUGGAUAAAGGGAGCUGCUUUAUGCAGGGUUAUACUGUGUCCCUGAGGACAGCCUGGCGCCUUUUGCCUCAAUUUAGGACAACUCUGAAGAGUCAUCCCAGGUUUAGAGCUCUCUAAGGAAUUGCAGUUGUGUCACAGUUCAAUUUCCUCUUCUUCCACCCAGUUCUGUUUCCCUUAUUUCUUUUAUCAGUCAUAUUCCCAAGAGCUUUCUCCUGUAUUCCUUACCCUAAUUUUCCAUCUCAGAUUCAGUUACCAGGGAACCUAACCUAAUACAGUGCAGCCAUUUGCAAUGUCAGUUCUCAAAUUAGGAGGUUUUUUUGAAAAUGUUUUUAAUUUUAAAAUUAAUACACUCUUUACAUAUGAAUAAUAUAUUUUGUGAAAAAUAAGUUUUCUAAAAAUAAUAACAGUGGCAUAUGUAUAUUAUAUAAUUUUAGGGAUAUCUUUAAUUACUUCAUGGAAGAUAGCCAGGUUCUCCUAUCUGGAGUUUUUUUGUUUUGUUUUUAGUAUUGGGAAUUUAACCCAAGGGCAGUUUACCAUUGACCUAUAUCCCCAGUCCUUUUUGAGACUGAUUCUCACCAAGUUGCUGAGGCUGGUCUUGAACUUGUGAUCCUCCUGUCUCAGUCUACCUAGCCACUGGGAUUACAGGUGUAUCCCAGUAUACCAAGCUCUUAUCUGCUUCUGUAUUAGUAAUGUCACAUUUACAUAGACUAUGGACCUCCUGUGUAUACAUGAGAGAUUGAGAGUGAAAAAAAAUGAUUCAUAGUAUUACUAUGAAAACAGUUUUUAUAUCAGGGACCCUGAAAAGAGUCUUUAAAUGAAUUAUUUAAAGAAUUUGGAUUUUGACACCUGGCUAAGUGUCUUCAAAAAUGCAAUUUGAGCCAGGCACAAUUUUUUUUAAGUACUGGGGGUGUAGUUAAGUAAUAAAGUACUUACUUAGCAUAUGUGAGUUCGUGGGUUCAAUCCCCAGUACCAAAACCAAACAAAUUCCUCAAAUGUUGUUAACUUUAAAAAGUAUGUAAAGUACCAAAGCAAUGUAUUGGCAUGCUGUUGAUAAUAAUGUAGUCCCAAAGGAAGAGCUUGAGAACCCCAAAGAUAUAAUGGCUAAAGGAAGUAUUAAAUAUGUGGGUAAAUAGAAAUAAACAUUGACAGUGGAGAAGAACAAAAUUGACAUACAGGGUUAAAAAAUGGUAUACUGUAAACCAAUAUUAUGUGAUUUAA
This 2008-nucleotide long non-coding RNA is filed under the name Marmota monax (woodchuck). Lineage: Eukaryota; Metazoa; Chordata; Mammalia; Rodentia; Sciuridae. The record is from RNAcentral.